Unclassified non-coding RNA from Stegodyphus dumicola, 1371 nucleotides. NCBI's taxonomy places the organism in Eukaryota, Metazoa, Arthropoda, Arachnida, Araneae, Eresidae. The record is from RefSeq and is a predicted model, not a curated record.
ACUUUUCUGUUUACGUUUAGCUAUACGUCUUACACGAUAAACUAGUAAGAUAUUUUCAUGCCUUCGAGGUGUAAUUUGGAGCACGUCAGGCUAGCAAUCGGGAGGUCCGGAGUUGAAAUCCAGGCGAAAGAAGUAGCUCCUUUUUCAUGUUUUCUGCUUCGAAAAAUAUAAAAUAACUCUACAGUGAACCUCGAACUAAAAUGUGGUAGAUUGUAAUUCGUCACACCAGGAUUUGGGGACUGAGUCUCUUUCUCCCCAAUAGCCCUUUAAGUGGAGAAGAAGGCAAGGCAUUUUCGUCUUCUUUUUGCAUUGGUGCUGUAACUAGAAGCACGUGGAGCAGCUGGGAGGUCUGGAGUCGAAUACCGUUUUAUUCAGGAUUCUUUCUGUCUGUGCUACUGAGUGUAGUUCUUGCCUAUCCUCCUUACGGUGCACAAGUUCAACAUCAGUAUAUACCAGUACACACCCAACACGCUCCUUCAGUUCAGUACCAAGCAGCACCUGUUCAAUACCAGGCAGCCCCCGUGCAAUAUGAAGCAGCACCAGUGCAGUAUCAGGCAGUACCGGUAGAAUAUGCUCAUGCACCAGUUCAAUACCAACAUUUACAGGAACCUCAAAUCCAGAGCGUUCCAGUAGCAUAUGCACAGGUCCAGCCAUCCAUCCUGAGUUCUGGAGAAGAAAGCCACGGAGUUCACGGUCAGCAGUUAUCCGGUCACUCACAAGCUGGUUCAAACGAAUACGUUGACAAAUUCGCAACUAGUGAAAAAGCAGCAGCUGCCCAUGGACAUCACAACACUGGUGCAUUAAGCAAGCACGCUGCUCAAGGCGCAAAACACAGCCAUCAAGGCACUUACCACAACACAGGCUCAUAUUCCCAAGAUAAAGGCAGUGGCUACGAGAAAUCAUACUCUUACGACAGAGCUUCAGGUUUUCAUGAUAUUACUGCUCAUGAUGCUGCCCAUUCAGAUAGUUAUGGAACCAAAAAUGAACAAGGCCAUCAUUCUGUGGGUGCCCAGAGUGUAAAUAAGCACGCAAAAGAAAGCGCACACAGCAAAGCAGGAAGUUCUUCACACAGUGCCCAAGCUCACAAUUCUGCACUGUUCAAGAAAUACGGGUACACUAACGGAGGAGCACAAGAUGGCUACAGUUAUUCUCCUGUAUAUGGAUACGGGUAUCAUUAAACUUUGUGGAUGAGAACUUUGAGAUUCCACAUUCUUGCUCAAAGUCCGACUGACAUAAGCAACAGGAAAGGGAAAUGCUGACGAAGAUUUAUUUAUUACUUGCUUUCUGUACAGCUUCGUGAUCAUUGAUGUUCUUCUUGUGCUUUUAUUUGUUUAUAGAAGAAUUAAAUAAACAUUUUUAUUUUAUUUUAUA